RNAcentral lists this ribosomal RNA (380 nucleotides) under uncultured eukaryote. RNAcentral describes it as "partial 18S ribosomal RNA". It matches the Rfam family "Eukaryotic small subunit ribosomal RNA", at positions 592 to 976 of the family's 1831-position model. The record is from RNAcentral.
CAAUAGCGUAUAUUAAAGUUGUUGCAGUUAAAAAGCUCGUAGUUGGAUUUCUGCUGAGGACGAUCGGUCCGCCCACUGGGUGAGUAUCUGGCUCGGCCUUGGCAUCUUCUUGGAGAACGUUGCUGCACUUGACUGUGUGGCGCGGUAUCCAGGACUUUUACUUUGAGGAAAUUAGAGUGUUUCAAGCAGGCGCACGCCUUGAAUACAUUAGCAUGGAAUAAUGAGAUAGGACCUUGGUUCUAUUUUGUUGGUUUCUAGAGCUGAGGUAAUGAUUAAUAGGGAUAGUUGGGGGCAUUCGUAUUUAACUGUCAGAGGUGAAAUUCUUGGAUUUGUUAAAGAUGGACUACUGCGAAAGCACUUGCCAAGGAUGUUUUCAUUGA